CUCCCCCCCUCUCCCUCCUGUCUGCCAACCGCUUUUUCCCUCUGAUCUUUGCGAGCGUAGUUCGUCUCCGCCAUCUUGCACGUGUGAAAGCUAAAUAGUGGAAAAUUGUCCCCAUUAGAGAUGAGUCUGUUUACAUCAAGCUGAUUAGGUUUUAGGACUUGGUUUGUCUAAACAUCCAAACACCAUUCUCUCCUGAUGCAAUACAACACAAGCUUGGCUUACAUGUAGUUGCAGAACCAGUAAGGAAAGCAGACUUUUAGUGAAGAAGAGGGAUCUGUAACACUGGGAAGAUAAUAGAAGAGGGAUUGGGACUUAUGUGAAGACCCCUAACAAUUUCUGGAGAUUCAAAUUAAGCAUCGUAUCUUAACGAUCACUGAGCUGGACUAUCAGAGCAGUAUGGCGGAUACAAACUAGGACAAAGCAAGAAGAGGAUGAACGCAUUUACCGUCAUUCAAGAUUGAUGAUUUUAUCGCAGUCCAGGACCCAGGUAAACACUUGUUCUUAUGCAUUGAUCGAUCCGAAACGUAACCUGACUCAGUUGCUCUGUUAUCCUCCUGAAAUUAGAUUUGAGAGAACUCUUGUCAACUGGCACAGCUUUAUAAGUUCCAUACUAUUUUAGAUUUAUCCACAUUGGAAGGAAGUGUAUUGGGUCUGUGUAAUUAUCUUUAAAAGUUUCACUGUGAUUUCCUUCGUUUCGACAUGCUCCGAAUAAAAUAUAGUAGCCAAACGCUCACAUGAAAGCAAAAACAAAGGUGUGGCUGACUAGGGCCCUUUAAGUAGAAUUUUCUGUCGUUCGCGGCAUUUUUGGGGGAGGGUGGCGUAGAUAACUAUAAUAAUUUUUCAGAGGAUUAUAUGCGAUUGAAUAUCGUUUUCGUUCACUUUUCUUAUGAUAACCCAACUCAGGAGAAAAUGCGUGAAAAGCCAUUCAAAAUACAGAAACAAUCUCCUUGUUUUUUCGAGUUAUAGGAAUGCGAGGCCCAGGCGAAUGUUUCCACAUCUUUUUCGUGUUCGUCAAACUUUCACAAGUGUUUCUGUAAUUUGACAGAAACAUGGAGAAAGUGUUCUAUAUUUCGUUGCAAAAAUGUUGCGAGAGUAAGAGAGGAAAAUUAUUCGUUUGUUUCGGUUAAUCAAAAUGUAAAUUUUCUUUGCUCGUGCCUUCAUUGUUCUAUAGGACCUUCGUCACUUGUGGUCACGUGACAAACCAAACGCGAUUGCCGUUUGAGAAUGUUAUAAACGUUUUGAAAUAAUUUAAGAACUAUGGCUCCUACUGUGAACACAAUAAGAAUAAUAAUCGUCCAACGUGGAUAUUUUGGUAACCUUGCUUAGCUGCUGUCAAAUAAUUAUAAAUUUAAUCCGGUGGAAUUAUUCAUACCUUCAUCUCAAUGCUGAUUUACCGCCCUGACUGAGUUGACUUGUAGUCAGUCCGAGAAAUUACUAGUCAACCGCGGACAGUCCCUGUUUGUUUGUUUAUUUUUAUGAUUUUUUUGAAAGGGGCACAAACAGUAAACAAGCGCGUCCAUUGAAAAAUAAACAAAUAGAUAGAAAUAUAAAAAGGAAAGAAAAAGGAAAAAAAAUAAAGAUCCGAGCUGAAGUUGAGCCCAUGACCGUCUUGAAUUCCGGAUUGAAACGCGACAGUGAUCUCCA
Molecule: long non-coding RNA, 1644 nt
Organism: Orbicella faveolata
Lineage: Eukaryota; Metazoa; Cnidaria; Anthozoa; Scleractinia; Merulinidae
Source: RefSeq, a predicted model, not a curated record